Molecule: long non-coding RNA, 2015 nt
Organism: Nicotiana tabacum (common tobacco)
Lineage: Eukaryota; Viridiplantae; Streptophyta; Magnoliopsida; Solanales; Solanaceae
Source: RefSeq, a predicted model, not a curated record
AAGUUGUUGCUAUUACCCAAAAGUUUGUGACCUAAAAUUUAGUAAAUUACUUUUACUUUUCAGCCAAAACAAACGCGCCAAAACUGGUUUCCCUGUUCUAUUACUUUUCCCCAAAUUCUUUGCGCGCAAUUUUAGUUUCCACUGCAUCUAGGUUUUCUCUUUUCAUUAUUCUGCUAAACUAAGUUCUUGCAUCUGGUGUGUUCGAUUAUUCGAUCUCCAUCGCUGUGUUCUACCCAAAAUCUGGUAAGCAUAUGAUGGAUAAGAAUUGGCUACUUAUUAAGAAUAGGACAUUACCGGAAUACUUGAAUGGUGUGGAAUGUUUUUUGAACUUCGCAUUUUCUAAUCCUGAGGUUGGUGUAAGAAUCCAAUGUCCGUGCAUUAAAUGUAAUAAUGUUCUUAGAAAAUCACGUGAUGAGGUAAAGACUGAUUUACUUAGGUGGGGAAUAGAUCCGACAUAUGAUAGGUGGAUUUAUCAUGGUGAGUCGGAUUCAUCAUCAGAUGAUGAAAUAAAUUUUGAUACAGAUUCAAAUUUUGGGAAUGAUGAUGCUCGCACUUUUGAAAUGUUGCAUGACAUGUAUCGUGGUGUUCCCUCUAAUAGUCGUGAGUUUGAUGAGACCACUGACUCUAUGUACGAAGAGCCAAAUAUAGAAGCUAAAAGUUUUUAUAGGUUAUUAAAAGAUGCAGAGCAAAAGUUGUAUCCAGAUUGUGAAAAGUUCUCCAAACUCUCGUUUGUAAUGCGUCUUUUUCAAGCAGAAUCGGACAAUGAUGUCAUCAUAAUACAAAGAGAAGAUAUUGAUGGAGUGAGUGUUGAAGCACCUUCUCUUAAUAAUGAGGAAGAAGUAGAUUUAUAAAUUGGAGAUGAAUCUGAUCAUGAAAAUGGGGAUGACUAUAAUAAUUCUGCAACAGAUGAAGAAUAUCUUUAUGAGAAAGAAUAUAUUGAAAACGAGGAUGAUGAUUGGUUGUGAUCUUCAACUAGUCUUCAAGACAAUUUUGCUUAUUUCAAUCGCUUGUCGAAAUGGUUACUUUCUACUUUCUACUACUUUUAUUUUUUAUUUUAUUUUUUGUGAUUUUUGCUUUGUAACUUUAUUUGUUUCUAAUUAUUUCUGAACAUAUCUUGCAUUUUUCUUGUUUUUUUGCUGCCUUCACUUCUACAUUUGGCUAAUGUCCAAUAGUAUAAUUUUUUUUAAUAUGUUACAGCCUAUCAUGACAAUAAAUGUGCAUGUUUCUAAUAAUAUUGAACCUACAGCCGGUGUAGUUUCAAAUUUACAGACAGGUAAGUUAUUUCAUUUGUUAAAAUUCUAGCGUUUUAAAAUCCCUAGUUUGUACAGGUUUAAUUUCUAUACACCUAUAUAUUUUCCUAUGUUGCUGAAGGAAAAAAGAGAAAGGGAAGGGGAAGACAACAGGGCUUUCAUUUCUAAAGAAACGGAAAGACAGUGACAAUGGAAAGUUGAAGGUGAUUAUUCCACCAGAUCGAAUAGUAGUAGUAGGCCCUGGAGCUAAAGAAAGUCUUCAGCAUGCUAGGCAUGAUGUCAAGAAAUGGAAAGAAGUCCCUAAUCUAGUAAAAGAUAGAAUUGUUUCUCACAUGCUGGUAAUUCUCUAUUAUUAAUGCUGCUUUUGUGAAACUUGUUGGAGAAAAGCAAGAAUAUUGCCGCGGUCAAGGAUCGGGAGUCAAGCCACUAGUAAGAGAUCUAUGCAUGUAACUCAAGAGCAACUGCAAGCACAACAAAAGGAGGUGGAAGUAGAACGCCAUAAACGAGAGAGUGUAGAGUGCAAACUAAUAGAAGUGGAAAAUCAACUUGAGGAGGAGCGGAAAAAACGAGAAGUCAUGGAAGCUCGUCUAUUGAAUGAUCAAAAAAUGUUAAAAAAGAGAAUGAUGGCACUAGUAUCCCAUAUGCAAAGUUCAGAGGUAUUUCGUUUGUUUAAGGUGUUAAAGUUUCAAUUACUUACUUUUGAUCCUAAGAAUAAUUUUAUUAAACUACUUGAGAAUAAAAGAGAUAGCAUCACUUUUCCUGUUA